Molecule: non-coding RNA, 107 nt
Organism: Bacteroidetes bacterium 4572_128
Lineage: Bacteria; Pseudomonadati; Bacteroidota
Source: Rfam
UAGAAAAGGGCAAGUCUUGUACGACCAGCUCCUACUAAAUUCCCCCAGGACUUGAUGGUAGCAAGGGUAAGUGGUUGAGCGGUGCGAAACAAGUAACUUGUCUUUUU